ACGCUCGACACCUACGUGAGGCAGCAGUGGGGAAUAUUGCACAAUGGGGGAAACCCUGAUGCAGCGACGCCGCGUGAAGGAAGAAGUAUCUCGGUAUGUAAACUUCUAUCAGCAGGGAAGAAAAUGACGGUACCUGACUAAGAAGCCCCGGCUAACUACGUGUCAGCAGCCGCGGUAAUCUGAGCGGGCUGGCAAGGC
Molecule: ribosomal RNA, 198 nt
Filed under: uncultured bacterium
Lineage: Bacteria
Description: partial 16S ribosomal RNA
Rfam family: Bacterial small subunit ribosomal RNA
Source: RNAcentral